GCGGCAAACGGGUGAGUAAUAUCUGGGAAUCUACCCAAAAGAGGGGGAUAACUACUAGAAAUGGUAGCUAAUACCGCAUAAAGUUGAAAGACCAAAGUGGGGGACCUUAAUAAGCCUCAUGCUUUUGGAUGAGCCCAGACGAGAUUAGCUUGUUGGUAAGGUAAAAGCUUACCAAGGCUACGAUCUCUAGCUGGUCUGAGAGGAUAACCAGCCACACUGGAACUGAGACACGGUCCAGACUCCUACGGGAGGCAGCAGUGGGGAAUAUUGCACAAUGGGUGAAAGCCUGAUGCAGCUAUGCCGCGUGUAUGAAGAAGGCCUUACGGUUGUAAAGUACUUUCAGCGGGGAGGAAAGGAAUAAAACUAAUAAUUUUAU
This 376-nucleotide ribosomal RNA is filed under the name Aphis illinoisensis. Its description in RNAcentral is "bacterial SSU rRNA". It matches the Rfam family "Bacterial small subunit ribosomal RNA", at positions 95 to 471 of the family's 1533-position model. Lineage: Eukaryota; Metazoa; Arthropoda; Insecta; Hemiptera; Aphididae. The record is from RNAcentral.